RNAcentral lists this small RNA (37 nucleotides) under Propionibacterium australiense. Its description in RNAcentral is "CRISPR_Spacer". The record is from RNAcentral. Lineage: Bacteria; Bacillati; Actinomycetota; Actinomycetes; Propionibacteriales; Propionibacteriaceae.
CGAUUUCAAUGGGAAUGAAUCAGCGGUUUUCGUACAG